UUUUUUUUUUUUUUUUUUUUUUUUUUUUUUAAGAAAGGGCCAAAAUGGGGGUUAGAUUAGGUUUUCUUUGUGUUACAAAUAGGGAAAGAAAAUGCUGAUCACAAUGCAAGCAUUUGACAAGAGACCCAAUACCACUGAAACAGCCAAGCUAUUACCAGGAGAGAACUAAAAUGUACGAAAGCUAUUUUUAUAUAAAUUAAGCCAGUUCAGGCUGAUGGUUAGAUUUCACAUUCUCAUGUUUGCAAAAAAUAUGUGAACCCGUUUUAUUUUAACCCUAUUUGGAUCUUCUAAUUUAAUAAAACCUCAUUAAUGCUAAAAGAGGUCAGACCAUUAACAAAAGCUGGUAUUUGAUUCGCCUGCAUGGGAUUAUCCAAUAUUUUUACUAAAGAACAACGGGUUAUCCAAGUCACUGCAAGGUGCAUCCUUCUUUAACUAAUCUGGCGCUGCUUUAAUCAAGUUUGCUUUCAAAUAAUCCUCAGACACCAGAGAUGUCAGUAAACAGAUACAGAGAGCAUACAGCGUAACCUGAUCAAGUCUAAUAUAUUUUUCUUAUAAAUUGAAUUCCCAACUAUACCGUUAAGAUCCGACAGUGGAGAAAAUCUAAGCGUGAGCUAGAGAGAAUUGAUGUGAAACACACAGAAUAGGCAGGAGGCACACAGACAGCUCAUGGGAAAGGCACCCUGUGCCACCGAGCCUGCGAGCAAAAUUCCGUGACGCAGAGCAAAUGGAUACCAGCGAAAGACAGGGGUGUUUCUGUUUGGUGGCUGAGUGUGUUUUUGUUUCUCUAUAUGGUUAGUUUUUUAUAGUUUUUUUUUUUAAGAGGGAGAAGCAGAAAGAGAGAAAACCCUAGAUGAUGACAAAAAUGUUUUCAGCCCCCAUACCCAAAAAACACCAAAAGAGAAGAAAGAGAAUUGUACGACAUCAUUAAACAUCUUUGUGCAGGCAGUAACAGAAAACAGUAAUGCCAAAUUUUAAGUUAAGACUACAGGGCUGAAGGGUCAAAACCCCAGGCUCUAGGGUCAGGUGACCCAGAUGAAGAUCUCAACUACACCACUUGCUGCUGGCUGUGUGAUCUCGGGGGGAAAUUCUGAGUACUCACAACAUCUUCGAUUCUGCGUCCGUCAAUGAGGGGCACGACAACUGCCAUCACCUGAAGGCCAGUGAAGAGUGGAAUCAGUGUGGGAAAGCUCGUGUGUCCACGAACCAGACAUGAGCCACGUGUGACAAAAGGUUCUGCCAAGAGGACAACUUGGAGGAAAAACAGAACCAUGACAAAAGAAGAACAAAAGUGGAAUCCUGCUUUCCUAAAAAGAGUUGAGGAAGAAGCUAGAAGUGGGCACGCAGGCAUAGAGAUGCCAUUACUGUCAUCCAGAGAAUUCCUGGUGAAAGAGCUCCAGUUAAUCAGGAACGUAUGGUAAUCUCCGAAGAAACUCCAAAAGCAAGCAUGAGCGAAAGAACCAGCCUGAAACAUCUGCUAGUUCCAGAAAGUGCUGAGAGCAGCUCAUGACAUUUCCAGUGAAGUAAACACACUCGUACCCCCUGGGGCCCUCCCUGACCCUGAAGAAGGCAGAAGCUGUGGUCAGUAAGAGGAGGGAGGAAAGAGGGAAGGAGGUCGGUCACACUUCUCUCAUGAAGCAAGCUCCCCCCUAUGCAGCGAGCCCCAGAAACCAAGUUCCAAGUUUCAGCAAAUGCACUGGAUGGGUUGGAUAUUCUAAGUACUGAUAUGCAGGUGAGUUUGACCUACAGAGGCUUGAGGACCUUCUGUCACUGAAUAGGUACCAGAAGGUCAAUAGAGCUUUCUAGAAUUUUCGUCCAGAAGCAGCAACAGAGCCAGCCCUGUUUUGCAAAAAAUUUGCAUUGUCUCUAAAGAGACAGCAGAAGACAAAAAUUACUUAAGGAUUACAUCAGACAAAUCAUGCUUUUUACAAAUCAUGCUUUUUCCAUCGUCGCGGUUAAAUGUUUCAAGGUACAGGGUAAUCGUCACAAAUAACCGUGUCCGUUGGGCAUUUACUCGGUGCCAGCACUAUGCUCAUCACUUUCCAGGUGACAUCCCAUUUAACCUUCACGACAGCACCAUGAGCUGGGCACUGUCAUCAUCCUCAUUUUACAGAUAAUAGAAAACUAAUAACUUGCCCAAGGUCAUGAGAGUUAGCUAUCAUGUGAGUUAGCAGAGCUGGGGUGUCAAGCCACGCUGACCAUUCUUUGCUUCUCCUUCAUUUUCGAGGACUUAAGUCACACGAGAGAAACAAUUAAUUACCGUCACUUAUUUAGGGCUUACCUUGAGAUUUACAUAGAUUUGCUCAAACUGCUGUCGACAAGAGCCUACUGUGACCGCACACACUAGGUAGGCCAAGAUUACCCACCCCAUGAAGACAAACCUGGGAUCUGAACCCAGUUUAUCUCCCAAGAUCGCGCUCCAAACCAAUG
RNAcentral lists this long non-coding RNA (2427 nucleotides) under Canis lupus familiaris (dog). RNAcentral's name for it is "lncRNA (ENSCAFG00845004493.1)". Lineage: Eukaryota; Metazoa; Chordata; Mammalia; Carnivora; Canidae. The record is from RNAcentral.